Molecule: long non-coding RNA, 322 nt
Organism: Triticum aestivum (bread wheat)
Lineage: Eukaryota; Viridiplantae; Streptophyta; Magnoliopsida; Poales; Poaceae
Exons: 3
Source: RefSeq, a predicted model, not a curated record
UCAUCACAAUCGUCAGAGGAUAAAAACUUGAGGCAUUCACUAAAAUUAAAAAGUUUUUCAAGGGAUUUCAAAGAAGCACUCGAAAUAAAGCUGCCUGGGUGGAAUUUUGAUAUAUCUAAAUGGCAUCGUUUAUUUCCGGCCGGUGUUCCAACGAGUAUAGACGGGAAUGUGUCUGGCUAUUUUGUUUUUCAUUUUAUGCUCUGGUGGAACGGUAAAGAAUUGGUCAAGCCGGUUUGCGCGGAUGGGUAUGAAUUGAGGAAGCAUUUUUUAUUAUACUUGCUAAAACAUCGCGGGAAUGAAGCUAGAGGAAACUUUCCUGAUA